This 1370-nucleotide ribosomal RNA is filed under the name uncultured bacterium. Its description in RNAcentral is "bacterial SSU rRNA". It matches the Rfam family "Bacterial small subunit ribosomal RNA". The record is from RNAcentral.
AGAGUUUGAUCCUGGCUCAGGACGAACGCUGGCGGCGCGCCUAACACAUGCAAGUCGAACGAGCGAGAGAGAGCUUGCUUUCUCGAGCGAGUGGCGAACGGGUGAGUAACGCGUGAGGAACCUGCCUCAAAGAGGGGGACAACAGUUGGAAACGACUGCUAAUACCGCAUAAGCCCACGGUGCCGCAUGGCACAGAGGGAAAAGGAGCAAUCCGCUUUGAGAUGGCCUCGCGUCCGAUUAGCUAGUUGGUGAGGUAACGGCCCACCAAGGCGACGAUCGGUAGCCGGACUGAGAGGUUGAACGGCCACAUUGGGACUGAGACACGGCCCAGACUCCUACGGGAGGCAGCAGUGGGGAAUAUUGCACAAUGGGGGAAACCCUGAUGCAGCGACGCCGCGUGGAGGAAGAAGGUCUUCGGAUUGUAAACUCCUGUUGUUGGGGAAGAUAGUGACGGUACCCAACAAGGAAGUGACGGCUAACUACGUGCCAGCAGCCGCGGUAAAACGUAGGUCACAAGCGUUGUCCGGAAUUACUGGGUGUAAAGGGAGCGCAGGCGGGAAGACAAGUUGGAAGUGAAAUCUAUGGGCUCAACCCAUAAACUGCUUUCAAAACUGUUUUUCUUGAGUAGUGCAGAGGUAGGCGGAAUUCCCGGUGUAGCGGUGGAAUGCGUAGAUAUCGGGAGGAACACCAGUGGCGAAGGCGGCCUACUGGGCACCAACUGACGCUGAGGCUCGAAAGUGUGGGUAGCAAACAGGAUUAGAUACCCUGGUAGUCCACACCGUAAACGAUGAUUACUAGGUGUUGGAGGAUUGACCCCUUCAGUGCCGCAGUUAACACAAUAAGUAAUCCACCUGGGGAGUACGACCGCAAGGUUGAAACUCAAAGGAAUUGACGGGGGCCCGCACAAGCAGUGGAGUAUGUGGUUUAAUUCGACGCAACGCGAAGAACCUUACCAAGUCUUGACAUCCCUUGACAGACAUAGAAAUAUGUUUUCUCUUCGGAGCAAGGAGACAGGUGGUGCAUGGUUGUCGUCAGCUCGUGUCGUGAGAUGUUGGGUUAAGUCCCGCAACGAGCGCAACCCUUAUGGUCAGUUACUACGCAAGAGGACUCUGGCCAGACUGCCGUUGACAAAACGGAGGAAGGUGGGGAUGACGUCAAAUCAUCAUGCCCUUUAUGACUUGGGCUACACACGUACUACAAUGGCGUUAAACAAAGAGAAGCAAGACCGCGAGGUGGAGCAAAACUCAGAAACAACGUCCCAGUUCGGACUGCAGGCUGCAACUCGCCUGCACGAAGUCGGAAUUGCUAGUAAUCGUGGAUCAGCAUGCCACGGUGAAUACGUUCCCGGGCCUUGCACUCACCGCCCGUCA